CCGGAAGUGGCUGGACCGCGGCGUUUGGGGGUUCAGGAAGGCACUUGGGGAACACUUCAGGGCCCGAGCCGCGAAUUGAGGUCCUCGGGGGGAACGUAAAUGGUUCGGUUUUUUCAUCCAAUGAAGAAGAGCUCUACCAUUUCUGAAACCACCCUUCAAGCCCUCUCAGGCUACUCCUGUUCUGUCAUCAGUCUUCACACCACUGAGCCCUGGGCCAUCAGUCUCUCUGGGUCAUGUGCUUGAGGCCUCCCAAUCCCAUCUUGGAAGAUUUUUGAACUGUCUGGAACAAGGGAGCUCUCUCUGCUCUGGGUACCAAGGGAUGUCCAAGUGCCAGAUACUGGAGUGGGGACCACAAAUCAUCAGGUCCUGUGUCCUUUGGGGGCCCAGGCACUGGUGAGACUGGUGUGUAUGUGCACACAGCACUGGUGUGGGGGGCUGGUGUAACCACCAGGGAACAUCAAACCAGAGCAACCAGUGAGCAGCAGAGGCCUGAGAGAUGCUGUGUGAGAUCCACUCCUGCAGGGAUCCACAUGGUCUGGGUGUCUCUGCAGCUCUGCCUCUCCUCCUGCCAUGGCAGAGCACACAAACAGCCCAUCCCUGUGUCCCUUCUCCACUGACUGUGCUUUGGCCUGGCCUGGAAACUACCCGAGGUCUCUCCCAGGAGGAGUCCCUGUGCAUUUCCCUCCCCCAUGCCUCUGCCCUUCCUGAUCCAGCAGUGGUGGGGCAGGGAGAGGGCUGGCUCUGACAGGGCUGUUGUGGUUUAGGAAUGGUGCUCUCCAAUUUCCUACUCCCACUACAAAGACCACGUGUCUCUCCAGAUUGAUAUUCCCACCAUUGUCCCCACACCACAGGGGCUUUGCCUGCCUGGCCCUGCUUGAUCUCAGACACGUUUCACAGUCAGGGAUAACCUGGAGAUGGUGUCCAUGGUUAAACCUACCCCUUGCUCAUGAGCCCAUCUGGGGGUUGCAUCUCUGCUCUGAUGACCUGGGGUGUCCAGAAAUAACUCACCCUUGUGUGACCAGUCCAGACCCAGCUGAGACACUUUAAUCCUGGCAGCCCCAUCCUCCUCUCUGUUGUUUUGAUGCUCUUCAGUGCCUGACUCUUGGGCACGUGAGCAUCCAUAGGAGGGACUUUCACAGCCAACUUCUCCCCUGGGCAACGAUGUCUUGCCCCCGUCCAGCAGCCCAGAUGGGUUUCCCUCUGCACUGCCAAUUGUCCCUUUUCCAUCAUUCCAGCCACCCCACAGAGCAUUUCCCACCAUCCCUGAGUCAGUGCAGAGGUGCAGCGCUGGCCAUUUCUCUCCCUCAGAGCUGCGGGUAUGGUCCCAGUGCUGCAGUGACUGCAGGAAAGAGGACCCCACAAUAGGUCAUUUGUUGGUCAAAUACAGACAGAAAGAGUGAGAAACUGUCUGUGACUUGGGUUUUGGCCUCGCAGCCCCUGCCGUGGUUUGCAGGGAGCUGCAGUGUGGCACAGCCCUGGCUGUGCCCUGCAGUGCUGGCCUGGGAGAAGGUGUCGGUGCCAGCUGGCGCAGGGAGCUGCAGCGUGUGGGGAACGAAUCCCUCCUGGCCUCCUGCCCCCGGGUGACACUGCAGGGCCUCAUGGAGCCAAGGGGCCAUUGUAGCACUUCAGGGCCCCAUGGAAUUAAGGGGACUGUUUGGACAUUGCAGGGCCUUGUGGAACUGAGGCCAUUGUGACACUUCAGAACCAAAGGGCCACUGUGAAACUACGGGGCCUUGUGGAACUGAUACUGAAAUUGUCCAAAUAGAUACUUUCUAACACAGUUUGGGUAUUAGAAACCAGCCAUUCUUUAUGCAGUGCUGGUCACUUGGGGGAUCAUUCAUCCAUGUGAGUGCCCCAAACAUCAAGUCAGCAGAGGUCUUAUCACACACAGUGAUUACAUAUUCACAAGCUGUUCCUCUGUGGUGGCCUGUAGGUCUCACAGUAUAAAUAAUUCCAACUUUAUAACUGAAAUAUGUGAUUGAUUUUGUAAUUACCUUACUUAUGUAAUGAGGAUUAACCUCAUGGGCUUUCUUAUCUAUAUAAGGAAGUGAGCUGGCUGUUGCUGCAUGAACACGGAGUGUCAAGUCACCCGUCUCCGAAACUGAAACCAUUGGUGACCCCGAUGUGAUCACGACAGCUUCCACCAAUAGCACAGGGAACAGGCAGGGCAGCCAAGAGGAGCUGCCCACAGCUUUGAACUGUGAAAAGUGGCGUCCAGUGCUGCGGGGCAUCCAGGAGGAGUUGCCUUUGCAGGCUUUGCAGCCUUUGAGCUGCAAAGAAUGGUGUAGAGAGCCGUGAUCAGUCUGGAUGCCCCCCCUUUUUCCCCCUCUUAUUCUUUUUCUUUUUGUAAGUGGAAGACACCACCAGCAUGGGAGCAGGGGCUUUGACAACAGAGGACCCCCUCCUGCAGGUAUGGACUCCUAUUUUAAAGAAAAUAUUUGAAAAAUAUGAUGAACGGACUUUAUUAGUCCUAAUAACAUGACGUGAGAGCCACGGACUGGACGUGUUGGAAGGGGCUGCCCUAGAUUUAAAAAGUUGGGAGUGGGCUGGCUGAUAUAUCCUCACAACUGCCUUUACAGGAGACGACUCUGCCAAUAAUGCUGUUAAACAUUGGAGACUUGUAAUGGACAUGAUAAAAUAGCUGCAGAGCAAGCGGGUGGUUAGGACAGCAGAGGCAUCGCAGGUGGUGAACGGCGAAAGCAGGGCAGGAGGGAGAGGGGGAGGUGGCAAGGAGAGCAGAUGCUGUGCUGGGUGAGUGAGGCAAGAGGAUGAAUGCAGAAAACACAGGGUGCUGGGAGGCCACUGGGCAGCUGUGGACCCUCCCCAGGCGAGGGUGACCUGCCUGAGGAGCACCCUUACGCCCCCUGGGACCAGGCUGCUGCCCCAGCAGGGGUAUUUGCCCAGUGGGAUGUCGCCCAGUUGCCCGGUGCCGUGCCAUGCCCCAGCUGGGAGCGUGUUGUCAGCAGAGUGCGCCGUCCCUGGGGCCGGCA
Molecule: long non-coding RNA, 2990 nt
Organism: Passer domesticus (house sparrow)
Lineage: Eukaryota; Metazoa; Chordata; Aves; Passeriformes; Passeridae
Exons: 3
Source: RefSeq, a predicted model, not a curated record